GCGGACAUAGCUCAGUUGGGAGAGCGUCAGACUGAAGUGGGUUUCUAACUCUUCAAACUUCAAUCAUUUAAUCUGAAGGUCGUGUGUUCAAUCCACACUGGCCGCA
Molecule: transfer RNA, 106 nt
Filed under: Colletotrichum orbiculare MAFF 240422
Lineage: Eukaryota; Fungi; Ascomycota; Sordariomycetes; Glomerellales; Glomerellaceae
Description: tRNA-Phe for anticodon GAA
Rfam family: tRNA
About the family: Transfer RNA (tRNA) molecules are approximately 80 nucleotides in length.
Source: Rfam by way of RNAcentral